Molecule: ribosomal RNA, 253 nt
Filed under: uncultured bacterium
Lineage: Bacteria
Description: partial 16S ribosomal RNA
Rfam family: Bacterial small subunit ribosomal RNA
Source: RNAcentral
CACGUAGGGUGCGAGCGUUGUCCGGAAUUAUUGGGCGUAAAGAGCUCGUAGGCGGUCUGUCGCGUCUGCUGUGAAAAUCCGGGGCUCAACCCCGGACUUGCAGUGGGUACGGGCAGACUAGAGUGUGGUAGGGGAGACUGGAAUUCCUGGUGUAGCGGUGAAAUGCGCAGAUAUCAGGAGGAACACCGAUGGCGAAGGCAGGUCUCUGGGCCACUACUGACGCUGAGAAGCGAAAGCAUGGGGAGCGAACAGG